GACGAACGCUGGUGGCGUGCUUAACACAUGCAAGUCGAGCGGUAAGGCCCUUUCGGGGGUACACGAGCGGCGAACGGGUGAGUAACACGUGGGUGACCUGCCCUCAGCUCUGGGAUAAGCCUGGGAAACCGGGUCUGAUACUGGAUAUGACUCCAUGACGCAUGUUGUGGGGUGGAAAGUCUUGUGCGGCUGAGGAUGGGCCCGCGGCCUAUCAGCUUGUUGGUGGGGUGAUGGCCUACCAAGGCGA
This 247-nucleotide ribosomal RNA is filed under the name uncultured Actinomycetes bacterium. RNAcentral describes it as "uncultured actinobacterium partial 16S ribosomal RNA". It matches the Rfam family "Bacterial small subunit ribosomal RNA", at positions 28 to 276 of the family's 1533-position model. The record is from RNAcentral. Lineage: Bacteria; Bacillati; Actinomycetota; Actinomycetes.